AGGCACAACACCUCGCUAUCCUUCUCUAAGAAAUGUUGUUCAAGAAUUGCCACUGAAGAGAGAUUGAAAGAUAUGUUGUUCAUGGAAGCAACGAAUUUUGUCCUCUUAUUAGGUCCUUCACAUGUUUGGUUUCUAGGACACAAAAUGCUCCCGAGACCUAUCAUGAAGAAGAAACUCCUGUAACUUUCCGAGGCACAUUAACAGGGUUUAACAGGAUAGAUUAUAGAAGGAUUAUCAUCUGUUGCUGCCUUUCUUGUCUACUAUUUCCUUCCAGCUUAAAUUAUCAGUUAGGCACCGUUGGCCUGGAGAAGAGAAUUAGCCAUGGAACCAACUUGUGGUGCUCGUGCCAUGGAAUGGAGCAUUCAACUUGAAAUGGGCCUCCGUUCUGCAAAACCUGGUUAUUUAAUUAUUUUCUUUCAUCCUU
This is a non-coding RNA of Vigna umbellata (rice bean), 424 nucleotides long. Lineage: Eukaryota; Viridiplantae; Streptophyta; Magnoliopsida; Fabales; Fabaceae. The record is from RefSeq and is a predicted model, not a curated record.